Molecule: ribosomal RNA, 1367 nt
Filed under: uncultured bacterium
Lineage: Bacteria
Description: 16S ribosomal RNA
Rfam family: Bacterial small subunit ribosomal RNA
Source: RNAcentral
ACGCUGGCGGCGUGCCUAAUACAUGCAAGUCGAGCGAACGGACGAGAAGCUUGCUUCUCUGAUGUUAGCGGCGGACGGGUGAGUAACACGUGGAUAACCUACCUAUAAGACUGGGAUAACUUCGGGAAACCGGAGCUAAUACCGGAUAAUAUUUUGAACCGCAUGGUUCAAAAGUGAAAGACGGUCUUGCUGUCACUUAUAGAUGGAUCCGCGCUGCAUUAGCUAGUUGGUAAGGUAACGGCUUACCAAGGCAACGAUGCAUAGCCGACCUGAGAGGGUGAUCGGCCACACUGGAACUGAGACACGGUCCAGACUCCUACGGGAGGCAGCAGUAGGGAAUCUUCCGCAAUGGGCGAAAGCCUGACGGAGCAACGCCGCGUGAGUGAUGGAGGUCUUCGGAUCGUAAAACACUGUUAUUAGGGAAGAACAUAUGUGUAAGUAACUGUGCACAUCUUGACGGUACCUAAUCAGAAAGCCACGGCUAACUACGUGCCAGCAGCCGCGGUAAUACGUAGGUGGCAAGCGUUAUCCGGAAUUAUUGGGCGUAAAGCGCGCGUAGGCGGUUUUUUAAGUCUGAUGUGAAAGCCCACGGCUCAACCGUGGAGGGUCAUUGGAAACUGGAAAACUUGAGUGCAGAAGAGGAAAGUGGAAUUCCAUGUGUAGCGGUGAAAUGCGCAGAGAUAUGGAGGAACACCAGUGGCGAAGGCGACUUUCUGGUCUGUAACUGACGCUGAUGUGCGAAAGCGUGGGGAUCAAACAGGAUUAGAUACCCUGGUAGUCCACGCCGUAAACGAUGAGUGCUAAGUGUUAGGGGGUUUCCGCCCCUUAGUGCUGCAGCUAACGCAUUAAGCACUCCGCCUGGGGAGUACGACCGCAAGGUUGAAACUCAAAGGAAUUGACGGGGACCCGCACAAGCGGUGGAGCAUGUGGUUUAAUUCGAAGCAACGCGAAGAACCUUACCAAAUCUUGACAUCCUUUGACAACUCUAGAGAUAGAGCCUUCCCCUUCGGGGGACAAAGUGACAGGUGGUGCAUGGUUGUCGUCAGCUCGUGUCGUGAGAUGUUGGGUUAAGUCCCGCAACGAGCGCAACCCUUAAGCUUAGUUGCCAUCAUUAAGUUGGGCACUCUAAGUUGACUGCCGGUGACAAACCGGAGGAAGGUGGGGAUGACGUCAAAUCAUCAUGCCCCUUAUGAUUUGGGCUACACACGUGCUACAAUGGACAAUACAAAGGGCAGCGAAACCGCGAGGUCAAGCAAAUCCCAUAAAGUUGUUCUCAGUUCGGAUUGUAGUCUGCAACUCGACUACAUGAAGCUGGAAUCGCUAGUAAUCGUAGAUCAGCAUGCUACGGUGAAUACGUUCCCGGGUCU